AAGGUAGGAGUAUCUCUCCUGCCCUCUUGUUCUGCUAGAUACUGGCUUCAAGGCAACAUUUCCCCAACCCCCACUUGUAAGCAGAGGCAGAUUUGUGUCUUGCUAUCUGCAUUGGAGUAUUUUCUCUCUGGACAUCGAGGGGACAGGCUGGCACAUUGUUUGGCUUUUCUUUCUCAGUUGUUUCUACACCUGUUCAAAGGAGCGGAGGGAGGGAGAUUGCCUGCCCAGUCAUGUUCGCUGCUUAGCUUGUCUUUUCUUUUUUCCUCCUCUCUCCUAAUUUCUUUUGGUGGCAGGAGAUUUCUAUACUAUGUCUUCUGCUUAUCUUUGAGUGGAGAAGCAGCUGUGUUUGCCUGUCUUCUUUUCACUUGUAUGGGGCACUGCUUAUCCUGUGUCAAUACAGCCUUUAGUCUAUGUGGAAGCCCUGCUUUCUACUUUUAUUCUAUUAGCUUUACUUCUCUGUGUCCUAUUUUCCUCUCCAGAUCUCUCAGGACUGCAGUCCGUUCCCCAGUGUCACAACAUUACCAGAGAAUCUCUGCUCUUAUUUGGUCCUAUAACAAUUUCAUAAUGUGGCCUUCAUCUGAGGCUGUAGGAGCAUCGUUACUAAUUUCACUUUACGAAAUGCCUUUCUCCUUGCUGAAGUUUGCAGUAAGUGAAUGUAAAAUGAAGAGGACAAAAUAGUUAAAGAACAUUUGCCCAUGGUUUCUUAUUUGUAAAGGUGGGAGAAAUAAAGUGUUGCUACACUGGUGAACCGCCUCA
Molecule: long non-coding RNA, 756 nt
Filed under: Anser brachyrhynchus (Pink-footed goose)
Lineage: Eukaryota; Metazoa; Chordata; Aves; Anseriformes; Anatidae
Description: lncRNA (ENSABRG00000013057.1)
Source: RNAcentral